UGGUGGAGUGAUUUGUCUGCUUAAUUGCGAUAACGAACGAGACCUUAACCUGCUAAAUAGCCCGUAUUGCCCUGGCAGUACGCCGGCUUCUUAGAGGGACUAUCGGCUCAAGCCGAUGGAAGUUUGAGGCAAUAACA
RNAcentral lists this ribosomal RNA (137 nucleotides) under uncultured eukaryote. RNAcentral describes it as "partial 18S ribosomal RNA". It matches the Rfam family "Eukaryotic small subunit ribosomal RNA", at positions 1299 to 1458 of the family's 1831-position model. The record is from RNAcentral.